RNAcentral lists this ribosomal RNA (776 nucleotides) under uncultured Neocallimastigales. RNAcentral describes it as "partial large subunit ribosomal RNA". It matches the Rfam family "Eukaryotic large subunit ribosomal RNA", at positions 23 to 640 of the family's 3401-position model. Lineage: Eukaryota; Fungi; Neocallimastigomycota; Neocallimastigomycetes; Neocallimastigales. The record is from RNAcentral.
GGAGACUCUGUGCGCGUGCAUAUCAAUAAGCGGAGGAAAAGAAACUAACAAGGAUUCCCUUAGUAACGGCGAGUGAAGCGGGAAGAGCUCAAAUUUGAAAUCUUCAAGGUUCUACCUUGACGAAUUGUAGUUUAUAGAAGUGUUUUCUGUUAGUAGAGUGGCAAAAGUUCUUUGGAAUAGGACAUCAUAGAGGGUGAGAAUCCCGUAUUUGGUCAUUCCUUCCUAGCUUUGUGAUACACUUUCAACGAGUCGGAUUGUUUGGGAAUGCAGUCCAAAAUGGGUGGUAAAUUUCAUCUAAAGCUAAAUAUUGGCGAGAGACCGAUAGCGAACAAGUACCGUGAGGGAAAGAUGAAAAGAACUUUGAAAAGAGAGUUAAACAGUACGUGAAAUUGUCAAAAGGGAAGCGUUUGACACCAGUGUUGUUUUUCCGAAAAUCAAUUACGAAUGUUUUGUUUUUGAGGAGUUAUGACUUCAUCGGCUUGCUCCUUUCUUUAUGAAACUUUCUUAAUGCACUUUUCGGUUAACAAGUCAACAUCAAUUUCUUUUGUUGUAAAAGGGUAUGAGGAAGGUGGCUUUCUUUUCGGAGAAAGUGUUUAUAGCCUUGUGCCUCUGCAAUCGGAGAGAUUGAGGUCUGCAGCGUAGAUCCUUCGGGGUUAGAUACGUUUGUGCUAAGUUAUAGCUUUUCAUAGACAACUUGUUGACUAUGUUUAGUCUCGUAGCUUACUCGCUGACGCUAUUUUACCUACGCUUAGGAUGUUGACAGCAGUAUAGACUGU